AAUAUUGGACAAUGGGCGAAAGCCUGAUCCAGCCAUGCCGCGUGUGUGAAGAAGGUCUUCGGUUUGUAAAGCACUUUAAGUUGGGAGGAAGGUCAGUAAGUAAAUACCUUGCUGUUUUGACGUUACCAACAGAAUAAGCACCGGCUAACUCCGUGCCAGCAGCCGCGGUAAUACGAAGGGUGCAAGCGUUAAUCGGAAUUACUGGGCGUAAAGCGCGCGUAGGUGGUUUGUUAAGUUGGAAGUGAAAGCCCCGGGCUCAACCUGGGAGCUGCUUUCAUAACUGCUGAGCUAGAGUAUGGCAGAGGGUGGUGGAAUUUCCUGUGUAGCGGUGAAAUGCGUUGAUAUAGGAAGGAACACCAGUGGCGAAGGCGACCACCUGGGCUAAUACUGACACUGAGGUGCGAAAGCGUGGGGAGCAAAC
This 421-nucleotide ribosomal RNA is filed under the name uncultured bacterium. Its description in RNAcentral is "partial 16S ribosomal RNA". It matches the Rfam family "Bacterial small subunit ribosomal RNA", at positions 360 to 773 of the family's 1533-position model. The record is from RNAcentral.